This 24-nucleotide non-coding RNA is filed under the name Arabidopsis thaliana (thale cress). The record is from RNAcentral. Lineage: Eukaryota; Viridiplantae; Streptophyta; Magnoliopsida; Brassicales; Brassicaceae.
UCGCCGCGUUGGAUAUUCUACUAU